GGAGACGUGGCCGAGCGGUUAGGCAGAGGUCUGCAAAACCUUCUACGGCGGUUCAAAUCCGCCCGUCUCCU
RNAcentral lists this transfer RNA (71 nucleotides) under Ignavibacteria bacterium. Its description in RNAcentral is "tRNA-Cys". It matches the Rfam family "tRNA". From Rfam's summary of the family: Transfer RNA (tRNA) molecules are approximately 80 nucleotides in length. Their secondary structure includes four short double-helical elements and three loops (D, anti-codon, and T loops). Further hydrogen bonds mediate the characteristic L-shaped molecular structure. tRNAs have two regions of fundamental functional importance: the anti-codon, which is responsible for specific mRNA codon recognition, and the 3' end, to which the tRNAs corresponding amino acid is attached (by aminoacyl-tRNA synthetases). tRNAs cope with the degeneracy of the genetic code in two manners: having more than one tRNA (with a specific anti-codon) for a particular amino acid; and 'wobble' base-pairing, i.e. permitting non-standard base-pairing at the 3rd anti-codon position. Lineage: Bacteria; Pseudomonadati; Ignavibacteriota; Ignavibacteria. The record is from RNAcentral.